GACGAACGCUGGCGGCGUGCCUAAUACAUGCAAGUCGAACGCUGAAGGAGGAGCUUGCUUCUCUGGAUGAGUUGCGAACGGGUGAGUAACGCGUAGGUAACCUGCCUGGUAGCGGGGGAUAACUAUUGGAAACGAUAGCUAAUACCGCAUAAGAGUAGAUGUCGCAUGACAUUUGCUUAAAAGUUGCAAUUGCAUCACUACCAGAUGGACCUGCGUUGUAUUAGCUAGUUGGUGAGGUAACGGCUCACCAAGGCAACGAUACAUAGCCGACCUGAGAGGGUGAUCGGCCACACUGGGACUGGGACACGGCCCAGACUCCUACGGGAGGCAGCAGGAGGGAAUCUUCGGAAAUGGACGGAAGUCUGAACGAGCAACGCCGCGGGAGGGAAGAAGGGUUUCGGAUCGUAAAGCUCUGUUGUAAGAGAAGAACGAGUGUGAGAGUGGAAAGUUCACACUGUGACGGUAGCUUACCAGAAAGGGACGGCUAACUACGUG
This 495-nucleotide ribosomal RNA is filed under the name uncultured bacterium. RNAcentral's name for it is "partial 16S ribosomal RNA". It matches the Rfam family "Bacterial small subunit ribosomal RNA", at positions 28 to 507 of the family's 1533-position model. The record is from RNAcentral.